GUGAUUACUUCUGCAGCAUAUCUGCUCAUAUUGGGAUCUUACAGAGAUUAACAUGGCCCCUGCACAAGGAUGACAUGCAAAUUUUUGAAGCCCUUCAUAUAAAG
Molecule: small nuclear RNA, 104 nt
Filed under: Vulpes vulpes (red fox)
Lineage: Eukaryota; Metazoa; Chordata; Mammalia; Carnivora; Canidae
Source: RNAcentral